GACGAACGCUGGCGGCGUGCUUAGCACAUGCAAGUCGAACGGAAAGGCCCUGCUUGCAGGGUACUCGAGUGGCGAACGGGUGAGUAACACGUGGGUGAUCUGCCCUGCACUUCGGGAUAAGCCUGGGAAACUGGGUCUAAUACCGGAUAGGAGCCAUUUUUAGUGUGAUGGUUGGAAAGUUUUUUCGGUGUAGGAUGAGCUCGCGGCCUAUCAGCUUGUUGGUGGGGUAAUGGCCUACCAAGGCGGCGACGGGUAGCCGGCCUGAGAGGGUGGACGGCCACAUUGGGACUGAGAUACGGCCCAGACUCCUACGGGAGGCAGCAGUGGGGAAUAUUGCACAAUGGGCGCAAGCCGGAUGCAGCGACGCCGCGUGGGGGAUGACGGCCUUCGGGUUGUAAACUCCUUUCGCUAGGGACGAAGCUUUUUGUGACGGUACCUAGAUAAGAAGCACCGGCUAACUACGUG
RNAcentral lists this ribosomal RNA (465 nucleotides) under uncultured bacterium. RNAcentral describes it as "partial 16S ribosomal RNA". It matches the Rfam family "Bacterial small subunit ribosomal RNA", at positions 28 to 507 of the family's 1533-position model. The record is from RNAcentral.